RNAcentral lists this small RNA (591 nucleotides) under Pan troglodytes (chimpanzee). RNAcentral's name for it is "retained intron". The record is from RNAcentral. Lineage: Eukaryota; Metazoa; Chordata; Mammalia; Primates; Hominidae.
GAUGUGGCACGAGACAUUGAUACCCACACGCAUAGGAUUGGCCGCACAGGAAGAGCGGGUGAGAAGGGUGUGGCCUAUACCCUACUCACUCCCAAGGACAGCAAUUUUGCUGGUGAUCUGGUCCGGAACUUGGAAGGAGCCAAUCAACAUGUUUCUAAGGAACUCCUAGAUCUGGCAAUGCAGAAUGCCUGGUUUCGGAAAUCUCGAUUCAAAGGAGGGAAAGGAAAAAAGCUGAACAUUGGUGGAGGAGGCCUAGGCUACAGGGAGCGGCCUGGCCUGGGCUCUGAGAACAUGGUGAGUCUAGACUACUACAGUAGUGCCUUUAUAGUUGGUCUCAUGUCCUGAAAGUCAUUAGGAAUAUUCUCAUCUACCCAGGAAAGCCUCAGUGAGUUUAAAGCCCUGUCUAGAAGGGAAUUUGUAUUUAAUCUGAUUUGAGUCAAUGCAGUGCUCAUUCUUAUGGUAACUUUCUAUUGAAGAAGCAUCUUUGUGUACUUGGUUGACUAGGCUUGCUCAGGAAAUUAUUCUAGAUUAGCAGUGAUCUCACACUGUGGUCCCUGGACCAGCAGCACAUGCAAACUCAUCCCCAACCCC